AGACUAGUAUGAAUGGCUAAAUGAGGACUUAGCUGUCUCCUUUGGUUAAUCAGUGAAAUUGAUCUACCCGUACAAAAGCUGGUAUAAACACACAAGACGAGAAGACCCUGUGGAGCUUAAAACACCUGUGCCAAACCAGCACCUUCUGCCAAAAUGACACAGCGUUUUCAGUUGGGGCGACUACGGAAACAAGCCUAACUUCCAAGCCAGAGGCAUACCCCCUCCCACCACAGACAAACAUGUCAAACUACCAUCUGACCCAGAACCACUCUGAAUAACGAACCAAGUUACCCCAGGGAUAACAGCGCUAUCUUCUUCAA
This 320-nucleotide ribosomal RNA is filed under the name Anguis fragilis (Slow worm). RNAcentral's name for it is "partial 16S ribosomal RNA". It matches the Rfam family "Bacterial large subunit ribosomal RNA", at positions 1984 to 2495 of the family's 2925-position model. Lineage: Eukaryota; Metazoa; Chordata; Lepidosauria; Squamata; Anguidae. The record is from RNAcentral.